GGAGUUAGCCGGUGCUUCUUCUGCGAGUAACGUCACAGAUGUAAGGUAUUAACUUACACCCUUUCCUCCUCGCUGAAAGUGCUUUACAACCCGAAGGCCUUCUUCACACACGCGGCAUGGCUGCAUCAGGGUUUCCCCCAUUGUGCAAUAUUCCCCACUGCUGCCUCCCGUAGGAGUCUGGGCCGUGUCUCAGUCCCAGUGUGGCUGAUCAUCCUCUCAGACCAGCUAGGGAUCGUCGCCUAGGUGAGCCUUUACCUCACCUACUAGCUAAUCCCACCUGGGCUUAUCCAUCAGCGCAAGGCCCGAAGGUCCCCUGCUUUCCCCCGUAGGGCGUAUGCGGUAUUAGCAGUCGUUUCCAACUGUUAUCCCCCACAAAUGGGCAAAUUCCCAGGCAUUACUCACCCGUCCGCCGCUCGUCAUCUUCAAAAGCAAGCUUUUGAAAUGUUACCGCUCGACUUGCAUGUGUUAGGCCUGCCGCCAGCGUCAUCUGAGCGAGAUACAAACUACUGA
This 510-nucleotide ribosomal RNA is filed under the name uncultured bacterium. RNAcentral's name for it is "partial 16S ribosomal RNA". The record is from RNAcentral.